This 1960-nucleotide ribosomal RNA is filed under the name human gut metagenome. RNAcentral's name for it is "bacterial LSU rRNA". It matches the Rfam family "Bacterial large subunit ribosomal RNA", at positions 3 to 1980 of the family's 2925-position model. The record is from RNAcentral.
UCAAGCUACUAAGGGCAUACGGCGGAUGCCUAGGCGCCAUCAGCCGAUGAAGGACGCGGUAAGCUGCGAAAAGCUACGGGGAACUGCAAGCAAGUAUUGAUCCGUAGAUGUCCGAAUGGGGAAACCCACCUGCCGUCAUGGGCAGGUAUCCGAAAGGAAGGGAACCCGGGGAACUGAAACAUCUAAGUACCCGGAGGAAGAGAAAUCAAACGAGAUGCCCACAGUAGCGGCGAGCGAAGAGGGCAGAGGGCAAACCGGGGAGCUACGGCUCUCCGGGGUUGAGGACUGCAUUUAGUCUUAAUGGUCUAUCCGAACUACCUGGAAAGGUAGGCAACACAGUGUAAAAGCCACGUAGGUUAAAGACCAAAGAGAUGAGCAGUAUCCAGAGUACCACGAGGCACGAGGAAUCUUGUGGGAAGCCGGGGGGACCACCCUCCAACCCUAAACACUGAAUGGCGACCGAUAGCGCAUAGUACCGUGAGGGAAAGGUGAAAAGAACCCCGGGAGGGGAGUGAAAGAGAACCUGAAACCGUAUGUCUACAAGCAGUCGGAGCGAAAGCGACGGCGUGCCUAUUGAAGAAUGAACCAACGAGUUACGUGCACUAGCGAGGUUAAGUGGAAGACACGGAGCCGAAGCGAAAGCGAGUCUUAAGAGGGCGGAUAGUUAGUGUACGUAGACCCGAAACCGCAGUGAUCUACCCAUGUCCAGGUUGAAGCGCAGGUAAAAUUGCGUGGAGGACCGAACCUGUGAGCGUUGAAAAGCUUUAGGAUGAGAUGUGGGUAGAGGUGAAAUUCCAAUCGAACGCGGAGAUAGCUGGUUCUCCCCGAAAUAGCUUUAGGGCUAGCCUCAAGUAGUAAGUAUAGGCGGUAGAGCACUGAUCGGGCUAGGGGCCAUAAAGGUUACCGAACCCUGUCAAACUCCGAAUGGUUAUACUGUAGAGCUUGGGAGUCAGACUACGAGUGAUAAGAUCCGUGGUCAAAAGGGAAACAGCCCAGACCACCAGCUAAGGUCCCCAAUGUCGUACUAAGUGGAAAAGGAUGUGGGGUCUCUAAAACAACCAGGAUGUUGGCUUAGAAGCAGCCACCAUUUAAAGAGUGCGUAAUAGCUCACUGGUCGAGAGACCCUGCGCCGAAGAUUACCGGGGCUAAAGUACGAAACCGAAGCUGUGGCUACGACGUAAGUCGUGGGGUAGGGGAGCGUUCUGUGAGGGCUGAAGUCGUUCUGUAAGGAACGGUGGACUUCACAGAAGUGAGAAUGUUGGUAUGAGUAGCGAAAAGAAUGGUGAGAAUCCAUUCCACCGAAAGCAUAAGGAUUCCUGGGCAACGAUCGUCGUCCCAGGGUAAGUCGGGACCUAAUCCGAGGCAUGGAGCGUAGGAGAUGGACAACUGGCAGAUAUUCCAGUACCGGUAAUGAUUGUUUGAGCGAUGGAGUGACACAGGAGGGCAGGCAGGCAGGAGAUUGGUUGUUCCUGUACAAGCGUGUAGGAUGGGUUGCAGGCAAAUCCGCAACCUGUGAGUCUGAGGCGUGAUGUGGAGGUUCCGGAAACGGAACUGAAGCUGCUGACCCCACACUGUCGAGAAAAGCUUCUAGUUAGAGAAUUACCGCCCGUACCGUAAACCGACACAGGUAUGCGGGGAGAGAAUCCUAAGGUGCGCGGGAGAACCCUCGUUAAGGAACUCGGCAAAAUGUACCCGUAACUUCGGGAUAAGGGUAGCCGCUGUUGUGAAGUCUGAACAGAUGGAGCAUGAGGCGGUCGCAGAGAAGAGGCCCAAGCGACUGUUUACCACAAACACAGGUGCCUGCUAAAGAGAAAUCUGACGUAUAGGUGCUGACACCUGCCCAGUGCCGGAAGGUUAAGGAAGGAUGUCCGGAGCAAUCCAAAGCAUUCGACCGAAGCCCCGGUGAACGGCGGCCGUAACUAUAACGGUCCUAAGGUAGCGAAAUUCCUUGUCGGGUAAG